CUCGUGCCGGCUGCUGGUGGAGGGCUGUGAGUCGUUUCCUCCGGGCCCGCCAAAGAAUCCACUCCUAAUCUCAGGUUGGAAAAAUGGAGGGGUGCUAUUUGAGGUCUCUCUAUCAAAGCAUUGCUGUAGUUGAUGGAAAGCACUGGCCUAGUGUAAAGGUUGAAUGUUCCCCUUGUGUUUAUCUAAGGCUUAAUGAAGAGGAGGUUCUACAGUCUCGUUUCUACAAAGGUUGUGAGUCUGAAGGGAAAUGAACGACGGAUCUCGAUUCCAUAGAAUUCUGAAGUGACCGACUGCAUCCCAAGAUGAGCUGAACAGAUCCACAAAAAGCCAAGGAUUUCAGAGCUGGUAGAGGGACGUCAGUGCCCUUGGUGGUUAGUGGGAAGAAAGGGUAUGAUCUCUUCUUCUCUUGAACAGGUGUGGCGAUUCUGGAAAAAUGAGAAAGCCGCGUAAGAAAUGGAACCUGAUCUCUCCUCCCCUAGUGACUUCUCAACUAGAACAGUCAUUCCUUUGGAACGGAGGGUGUUCAAGCUGGACUUUUAAGAUGCAAAUAGCCGUCUCCUGUUACUGGUGGGAAAAGAGCCUCUAUAGACGGGAAUUCUGUCCUAACAUUCGGAAAUGAAGGCAGUGGAUUCUGAAAAUCUGCCUUGAUUUUUAAGUGGCCACUUCCAAUAAAUAAAAUUAC
This is a long non-coding RNA of Gekko japonicus, 682 nucleotides long. RefSeq lists it as uncharacterized. The transcript has 5 exons. Lineage: Eukaryota; Metazoa; Chordata; Lepidosauria; Squamata; Gekkonidae. The record is from RefSeq and is a predicted model, not a curated record.